Molecule: non-coding RNA, 121 nt
Filed under: Desulfofundulus australicus
Lineage: Bacteria; Bacillati; Bacillota; Clostridia; Eubacteriales; Peptococcaceae
Description: Desulfotomaculum australicum TPP sequence
Rfam family: TPP riboswitch aptamer (THI element)
About the family: Vitamin B(1) in its active form thiamin pyrophosphate (TPP) is an essential coenzyme that is synthesised by coupling of pyrimidine and thiazole moieties in bacteria. The previously detected thiamin-regulatory element, thi box was extended, resulting in a new, highly conserved RNA secondary structure, the THI element, which is widely distributed in eubacteria and also occurs in some archaea. Analysis of operon structures identified a large number of new candidate thiamin-regulated genes, mostly transporters, in various prokaryotic organisms.
Source: RNAcentral
UUCAACCCAUGGGGGUGCCCGGCGGCAUCAGCGGUUGCCGGGCUGAGAAAAGCGUUUAACGCUUUACCCUUUGAACCUGAUCUGGGUCAUACCAGCGUAGGGAAAUGGGUGAACGGUUAGC